CAAUAUAAGUGAUGGCGACCGGCGCACGGGUGAGUAACACGUAUCCAACCUGCCGAUAACUCGGGGAUAGCCUUUCGAAAGAAAGAUUAAUACCCAUGGUAUAAUAAAACCGCAUGGUUUAAUUAUUAAAGAAUUUCGGUUAUCGAUGGGGAUGCGUUCCAUUAGGCAGUUGGUGAGGUAACGGCUCACCAAACCUUCGAUGGAUAGGGGUUCUGAGAGGAAGGUCCCCCACAUUGGAACUGAGACACGGUCCAA
RNAcentral lists this ribosomal RNA (255 nucleotides) under uncultured bacterium. Its description in RNAcentral is "partial 16S ribosomal RNA". It matches the Rfam family "Bacterial small subunit ribosomal RNA", at positions 74 to 334 of the family's 1533-position model. The record is from RNAcentral.